UGGUAUACUUCAUCCAAAGCUAAAUAUGGACAGGAGACCGAUAGCGAACAAGUACCGUGAGGGAAAGAUGAAAAGAACUUUGGAAAGAGAGUGAAAUAGUGCUUGAAACCAUUGGGGGGAAAGCGAAUGGAGCUUCCGUAAUGUCGAAGGAUCUCAAACCAGCGCUUCGGUUGGAACUGGUGUAAUGACUUUGAUUAUGCGUCCUUGAGUAUUUCCCCUCUUGUUCGUGCGUUGAACACGACAAAAGACUUCUGUUGAAUUUUUUCCUCUCGGGGUUGAAGUUUUUAAACAGAACUGCUCUUUUUGGUUGUUGUUGGGAUCGAUGCAGAGGGGCUCUUUCUAAGAGUUUCAAUCUUUUUUUCGUUCACUUUUCCUUCUAAGGUUUAGUGAAAGUUUUAAGAUUGGGAAUGGACGUAGGGGCUUUCUUCGACCCGUCUUGAAACACGGACCAAGGAGUCCGGUAUGAGCGCGAGUGCUCGGGAAUGUUACUCCCAUGCGCGUAGCGAAAGCAAUGACCGGAUUCUGUUCACCUGGAAAGACUGAUAGAUUCAUCUUCCUCUAUGGACGAUAUAUACUUCUUUCAUCUUUGCUUUGGACACAUAGGUUCUUAAGGUGAGAAAUUUGGCUAUGUCCAUAUUGCAUCAUCAUCCAACUGAUCUACUCCUACAGUCGAUUGGCUUGUGAUUGAGCGCUCAUACUGGGACCCGAAAGAUGGUGAACUAUGCCUGAGCAGGAUGAAGCCAGAGGAAACUCUGGUGGAGGUCCGAAGGCGUUCUGACGUGCAAAUCGAUGCUCAGACUUGGGUAUAGGGGCGAAAGACCAAUCGAACCGUCUAG
Molecule: ribosomal RNA, 836 nt
Filed under: Hanusia phi
Lineage: Eukaryota; Cryptophyceae; Pyrenomonadales; Geminigeraceae
Description: partial 28S ribosomal RNA
Rfam family: Eukaryotic large subunit ribosomal RNA
Source: RNAcentral